GAGAUUGAAACUGAAGAGUUUGAUCCUGGCUCAGAUUGAACGCUGGCGGCAUGCCUAACACAUGCAAGUCGAGCGGCAGCGCGGAGAGCCUAGCUCUCUGGCGGCGAGCGGCGGAC
RNAcentral lists this ribosomal RNA (116 nucleotides) under Halorhodospira neutriphila. RNAcentral's name for it is "partial 16S ribosomal RNA". It matches the Rfam family "Bacterial small subunit ribosomal RNA", at positions 1 to 103 of the family's 1533-position model. The record is from RNAcentral. Lineage: Bacteria; Pseudomonadati; Pseudomonadota; Gammaproteobacteria; Chromatiales; Ectothiorhodospiraceae.